RNAcentral lists this ribosomal RNA (253 nucleotides) under uncultured bacterium. RNAcentral's name for it is "partial 16S ribosomal RNA". It matches the Rfam family "Bacterial small subunit ribosomal RNA", at positions 524 to 776 of the family's 1533-position model. The record is from RNAcentral.
UACGUAGGGGGCAAGCGUUGUCCGGAAUCAUUGGGCGUAAAGCGCGUGUAGGCGGCUCGGUAAGUCCGCUCUGAAAGUCCAGGGCUCAACCCUGGGAUGCGGGUGGAUACUGCCGGGCUCGAGUCCGGAAGAGGCGAGUGGAAUUCCCGGUGUAGCGGUGAAAUGCGCAGAUAUCGGGAGGAACACCAAUGGCGAAGGCAGCUCGCUGGGACGUGACUGACGCUGAGACGCGAAAGCGUGGGGAGCAAACGGG